UACGAAGGGGGCUAGCGUUGCUCGGAAUCACUGGGCGUAAAGGGUGCGUAGGCGGGUUCUUAAGUCCGAGGUGAAAUCCUGGAGCUCAACUCCAGAACUGCCUUUGAUACUGAGAGUCUUGAGUUCGGGAGAGGUGAGUGGAACUGCGAGUGUAGAGGUGAAAUGCGUAGAUAUUGGGAGGAACACCGGUGGCGAAGGCGGCUACCUGGACCGGUACUGACGCUGAGGCGCGAAAGCUAGGGUAGCAAACAGG
This 253-nucleotide ribosomal RNA is filed under the name uncultured bacterium. Its description in RNAcentral is "partial 16S ribosomal RNA". It matches the Rfam family "Bacterial small subunit ribosomal RNA", at positions 524 to 776 of the family's 1533-position model. The record is from RNAcentral.